UCAGAAUUACUUUUUUUCCAAAACAUGGACAAUUCAGGUUCAGCCAUGUAUUUGUUUCUAUAACAGGAAUGCCUGCAAUUUAUCAAAUAAAGAUGCCAUCAGUGAUCUUCAGUUGAUGCAGAUCAGUACAACUCCAUUGAAGUUCUGGGAGUUCACGUCGGGAAAGAAAGGGCGCUGCUUAUUUUGGCUUGUCCCAUAGCUACAACAGAGCUGAGAUUUCUAAAUUGUUGCACCACAGGAGACCAGACAACUUCAAGCUACUACUGUUAGUUUUUCUUGUGAAAUCUAAACCUGCUUAAUAAUAUUCCCCUUGAUAUUUAACUUCUGGAGACACUGUGUCUGAGGUCACCAGCUGAAGAGUCAAGUGUAAGGACAAUUUUUCUUUGUUACCUUGGGACUUCCAUUUUCAGCAUUUCAGCCUCUAAUAACAAAGUAAAUAUUUUCAAUACCAGUAGUCAAGAAGGUUUAAAACUUUCAGUAAAGCCCACUUAAACUUCCAGUAAAUACCAUUUCAAGUGAGAGAUGAUGUUUUAAAUUCUUUCUUAUUUUAUUUGCACCAACUGUCCCUAGCUUACCAUCAGCUAGAGCUUGCUAAAACUUGCAGCUGGUAUCCUUUGAAAACUUCUCAGAAAGCAGAGUAAAGCUUUCCAAGGGGUCCCCCGAACACCUGCUAAUUUAAAAGCACAUAAUGAUAUAUUGUUAAUGGAUUACUUCCUGUAGCAAUAACACUUCUCACUCUUUUUUUGUUUGUUUGUUUGGGGGUUUCUUUGUUUUUGUUUCCAAACAGUGCGACAUGAUGGCUGACAACAAACAUCACACUCUGAAGUCGCUUAAUAGCAGUCACCUCCUACCAGAAGAGACCGAGCAGCAGACAUCAAAAGUGGAGAAAAGUCAAAAAGAAAUGCAAGAGUCAUUUGUGUUCUGUUUCACCCCAAGCGCUAAGAAGAAGAUGCUCCUUUAGAAGAGGCAGGAGCAUAAGCUGAAAAUAUUCUUAUGCUAUCCCCACCAUUGAAUGAAUUUCCACUGUCCUUCCCACACCAAGAGCACCCAUAGGACCAGGGGCUGAGGAGCAUCCCUGAAUCCAGCAGGGCCAAGAUGGGGUCGCUGCUGGUCUCAGGAGCCCCAGCCAAAUCCUAUGAAUCCAGCUCCAGUGGCAGACUGGUUAGAAGGUGAGGCUGAAAGAGCUCAGUGCUGCAGCAUUCAACAUUGACCAAAGGGUCCUUCCUGAGGCUGGAACUUGCUAGAGCUGUCUGCAGUGUUACUCUGUAGUGUCAGACCGCAUUCCCUUCUGGAACGAGGACAGCUCGAUCCUUCAGUUACAAAGCUGCUACUGAUGACCUGUUGGAGAUUAACUCUGCCAGUACAUAGACUGCCCAGUGCUGGAGACUGCUGUUACUUCAAAUCCUAGAGCAGGGUGACUGACUGCAUUUUCUCGCAAUGAAAACUAAGAUGCUGUUUCCUUAAGGACAGGGAGAUCUGAACUCCUCAUUACAUGCAGCAAACUGAGAGAGCUAAAGACACACAGGAUUCAUCAAAAGAAAUGUAUCAUGGCCAGUCAGUACAGUCAGAUGAUUAUGUGACAUUUUAUAUAUCAGUAAACCUUGAUGCCCAGUGGUAUUAAUGGCUGCUCUUUCUAGGUCUGUUCUCUCUAGGGAAUGGCAACCAGCCACGAGGUGUCCGAUUUUUACUCACAGGUAAGGAUCCACAUGUUGUCAUCCUUUCUGCUUUGUGGGAGGGGGAACGGGGCAGAGGGGGAGCUGCUCAACUCAGUUGGUUAAUGUGGGAUGCUACAGGCAGCUGGCUUGAAGCACAGACCUUGCCAUGGAGCUCCAAAAAAUUCCUUUUUGGUUGUGUACGCAGAGGGAGAAACCCUUGCCAAGAGGGCACUGGCAGAUCUGUGGGUCCCUUAUUAUCCUAGGAGUGAUGAACUGAUUCCAGAUACUCCAAGUCCUACUGGCCUGGUGCCAAAAGAGCAGCAAACUCAAAUCCUUUCCUCCCAAUACGGGUUGUGGUUUCCUUUCUUCAAGAUUCUGUGAAAUGAACAACUGUUUUUGUCAACCCACUGCAGCCAUCUCAGUCGGUGCCUCCCUGUUGCCCUUGAGACUGCCAGGGCUUGCCCAACCUGCAGGACAGAACUAACUUAUGAUGACUAUCAUCCAGUUUACACGAGUACUUCUGUUUCUGAAAUACAGACUCAGAUGGAUUUGGAGAGUUAGGUCUUAGAGGGACUUUUUUCUUCAUGUAUAUAGUUCUUGUUGUUUACAAUUCCAUUUUUCCUGAAUUUAGUUAUAAAUAAAGUCUUAAUUGAUUUAAA
Molecule: long non-coding RNA, 2314 nt
Organism: Pipra filicauda (Wire-tailed manakin)
Lineage: Eukaryota; Metazoa; Chordata; Aves; Passeriformes; Pipridae
Exons: 3
Source: RefSeq, a predicted model, not a curated record